Molecule: long non-coding RNA, 278 nt
Filed under: Homo sapiens (human)
Lineage: Eukaryota; Metazoa; Chordata; Mammalia; Primates; Hominidae
Description: HSALNT0392300
Source: RNAcentral
GAGAUGGCACCCAUGUGAGUGUCGCAGUUUCUACACCGUGAGCUGCUGAGAUGGCACCCAUGUGAGUGUCGCAGUUUCCACACCGUGAGCUGCUGAGAUGGCACCCAUGUGAGUGUCGCAGUUUCCACACCGUGAGCUGCUGAGAUGGCACCCAUGUGAGUGUCGCAGUUUCCACACGUGCCUCAUUGCUGUGUAAGAUGCUCAAGUGAGAGGAAGCUGGUGAACGGGUCUGUGGGAAGUUGCAGUACUGUCUUUGCAACUCUUCUGGACAUCUUUUU